UACGUAGGGGGCGAGCGUUGCUCGAUUUUACUGGGUGUAAAGCGCACGUAGGCGGCUUCGUAAGUCUGGUGUGAAAUCUCACGGCUCAACCGGGAGGCUGCACCAGAUACUGAGAAGCUCGAGGACGGGAGAGGAGAUCGGAAUUCCCGGUGUAGCGGUGAAAUGCAUUGAUAUCGGGAGGAACACCAGUGGCGAAGGCGGUUCUCGGGCCCGUUGCUGACGAUGAGGUGCGAAAGCUGGGGGAGCGAAAGGG
RNAcentral lists this ribosomal RNA (253 nucleotides) under uncultured bacterium. RNAcentral's name for it is "partial 16S ribosomal RNA". It matches the Rfam family "Bacterial small subunit ribosomal RNA", at positions 524 to 776 of the family's 1533-position model. The record is from RNAcentral.